Molecule: non-coding RNA, 1029 nt
Organism: Equus caballus (horse)
Lineage: Eukaryota; Metazoa; Chordata; Mammalia; Perissodactyla; Equidae
Source: RefSeq, a predicted model, not a curated record
UUUCUUUCUUUUUCCACAGAAAAACCUGAUAAAAAAUCAAUAACAGAAAUGAAUUUGGGCUGGCUGAACUAGAGAUUGAAAUAAAAGCCUGCAUGGAGCUAUAGAUUUUGAGGCAAGACAACAGAGGAAUUCACCUGUUUUCUUCUUAUGAGUAGAUGGUUUCAUUUUUUAUCCACUGUGGUAAGACAGCCUCCAAGAUGACCCCAGUGAUUCCCACUUCCAGGUAUUUUCAUAUAGUCGCCUCCCUCCUACAUUGAGUAGAGCUGACCAGGGUAACAGCGGGAUACCGUGGAAAUGAUGGAGUGUGACUUCUGAGGUGAAGUCAUCAAAGGCGCCAUGCCUUUUUCCUUCCUCUCUUGGACCACUCUCUCGGGGGGGAAGUUAACUGCCAAGUCUUGAAGACAUUCAAGAGCCCUAUGGAGAGGCCCCUGUGGUGAGGAGCUGAGGCUGCUGGCUGACGGCCAUGUGAGUGAGACAUUGUGGAAAUGGAUCCCCCGGUUCCCAGUCAAGCCUAGGCUGACACGCUGACCAGUCUCACAGGAGAUACUGGGUCAGAACCAUGCAGCUGAGAUGCUCUCAAAUUCCUGCUCCACAGAAACUGUGAGAUAAUAAAUGUUUAUCGUUUUAAGCCACCAAGUUUUACAGGAAUUUGUUAACACCAGUAGAUAAGUAAUAUCUCCAUAAAUUAAUUUUUCCUGUGAGCAGAGCACAUUAGAUUUGAGUAUGACAUGUGUAUCUCUUUGGCUGCUCAGGGUCUGUUGUUUGCCUCUGUUCUGGUUCUUAGCUACAGCUCAGAUACCUGAAGUGUGAUCUCUGGAUACAUUCAGGAGCUGGUUUUAUAUGACCAUAGAGCCUCCUGAGGAAGACCGACAUGGCAGGAUGCAGUUCUGCAGACUGUCCUGCAUUGGCUAGGAUCCACCGAAAGUGCAUCAUUUUGCUAUGCACUCCAGGACUCGGUCAUCUUACUCAGGAAUAACCAGCUUUUGGGAAAACCAGCUGAUAUAGAAAUAAACAUUUAUCCCUACAAAA